GUUCGUGUCGAGGUCAUGUCGAUGGCUCAUUCACUAUAAUUGUCUUUUGCAUUAUUUUCCUGCAUUGAGAUAUCUGUAGAGGUUACGUUUUGUUAAGUAUAUGUUUUGUGUGUGUGUGUUGAAUUGGCAUUUCAAUACAGCUUAAUGUUUUAUUAUGUGUUUGUGGGGUUGCUGGAAAUUGCCCAAAAAAGGGCACGGUGUUUUGUGGAUGCAGUGGUUGACUGUCCUGCUUGGCGAUUUUUAAGACCACAUGUUAUGGACUUUACCGUAGAAACAACAUAUAUUUCCUACUGCACAAGAAUAUUAUGAAAGAAAUAGCGAUACCAUUUUGUUUGCAAUCUGUCAUCUGUUCGUUUUUUUGUUUUUGUUUUUUAAAUGGAAAAAACAGUCCGCACGAAUUAUUUUUCCCUAAUGUUUUUUGUUUUUAAAAUUUUAUUUAGCUACUUCUUUUUUUUUAGUCUGUUUCCAAAAUAUUACUCAGUGUUUGAAACUGAGUUGCAAUUUCUUUGUGAAAUGUUGCAAGUUAUUGUGAAGUGCGCACAAUGUUACAAAGGUGCAUUGGUCUGACCUAUUUUUGGAAUAAGUGUGUUUGAAAACAAACAGGCACUUACAGGCGUUUGUUGCCAUGGUUAUAUUACGGUUUCCAUUCGAGCACAUGCUGAAAUGUGACCCGAGCAGCGUCUACCAUGUUUGCAUGAAAGAAUGCGAAGUGACCACACUAUAGGAUUGCAAGAACGUGGCACAUGACCGACAGCUGUUUGGAGAAACGGUUCUUUCAAUCUGCUUCGACACAUGCAACGCAGAUUGGCCUAUGAGUCUCUGUACACCUACCCAGACUUCUGGAGGUCCUACCCAGUGUUGAUAGGUCCCCAGUACAGUGGGGUGCAGCUGAAGGUAAUCUCUGGACUUGAGAUUGAACCCAAGUCCGACUGCAGAACAGAAUUUUAGCCAAGUUCCCUUUUGGAAAGGUCCCAGCUUUUGAAGGAGAGAAGGGUUUUCAUAUUCAUGAGAGUAAUGCCAUUGCCCACUACGGAAGCCCUUCUGCGAUCAGGAUGUCCUGUGUUUACAAUGGAGCCGCUCCACCCCUUUACCAGUGGAGAGCCUUCUACCAUCCCUGAUCUCCAAGAAAUAUUUAAACCGAGCCCUACGAUUCACCCUCGGAAAAAAAUCCCAAACUAGCACAAAGUUGAAAAGGAAUAAGAUGGACUAUUGGAUUUUCAGUUUGGAUUUUUGCAAAAAUAAAAAAAAAACUACUUUAGUAUGUAACCGGACUCAGGAGUCUGAUUGGCUGAUUGACCCACGCAACCUGAAAGUAACCUAGACUGGUUUAGAAGCUCCAGCUUGCAUCUACCCCAGAUUGAAGAGAGGAGUGGCGGUAUUAAAUUCAUCCUACUCUUUUAAUAUAACUCUACCCUAAUUGUGGUCCUCUUGUAGAGCAGAGUACUUAAGAUCCUUUUAAAGAACCGAGUGAACCAACCCUGGAAAUAUGUGCCCAGUACUGGUUUACAAGUUAUGGGGCUGUUCCCACAAAAAAGGAAGCAACAGGAGUAUAUUGUAUAGUAUUGGAUGGCCUGACAGCAGAUGACUAUGAUGGCUGGAGAACAUCAAGGGGAAGAGGUAAGAGCCUUUGUGCACAGCAUCCUAAGGACCCAUGAGCCACAGUUUCACAAAUUUCAUUCCUUCCUUCCUGAUUCGGUACAAUAGUGCUAGAGAGAGCAGAGGUGUGGGCGCUGUGCUGUGCGGGGGAGACUGCGUGGCUGUUGAAUCAUUCAUCAUUUCAAAGGGCUUGUCUUGACUGGCUAAUAAAGCACUGUGUCUCCUUAUUGCAGACAACCAUGCAGGGUGUAAAACCAUGAAGGUCUUGGACAUGUUCCAACAUCUGGAGCGGCUUCGCAAGAAUGGCUUUGCCAUCAUGGCUGUCUUCGGGAAGGACGGAGAUGACUCCAUCUCUGGGGUCUGGCUCUUCAGAGGACAGCAGCUGGCGUUUGAGGAUUGUGAUGUUUCUCAGCUCUGCGAUGACUGGAAGGUGGAUUACGGCUCGUAUUCCUGGAGGAAGCUGGACCCUGACGGCGAGGAGUCCAAGACCCUGAUGAAGGAGUACCUAUGUUGGGAGGGAGAGUUUAAACACGUGGGCAAGCCCUUCAACCAGGG
This is an RNA transcript of Acipenser ruthenus (sterlet), 2151 nucleotides long. It is a transcript of the gene named elongation factor 1-gamma-like, with no coding region annotated. Lineage: Eukaryota; Metazoa; Chordata; Actinopteri; Acipenseriformes; Acipenseridae. The record is from RefSeq and is a predicted model, not a curated record. The transcript has 8 exons.